GAUCAUGGCUCAGGAUGAACGCUGGCGGCGUGCUUAACACAUGCAAGUCGAGCGAAGCACUUAAGUUUGAUUCUUCGGAUGAAGACUUUGUGACUGAGCGGCGGACGGGGUGAAGUAACGCGUGGGUAACCUGCCUCAUACAGGGGGAUAACAGUUAGAAAUGACUGCUAAUACCGCAUAAGACCACGGUACCGCAUGGUAACAGUGGUAAAAACUCCGGUGGUAUGAGAUGGACCCGCGU
This 241-nucleotide ribosomal RNA is filed under the name uncultured bacterium. Its description in RNAcentral is "partial 16S ribosomal RNA". It matches the Rfam family "Bacterial small subunit ribosomal RNA", at positions 15 to 236 of the family's 1533-position model. The record is from RNAcentral.